GCAGCUGUGGCAUACUGGUUAGGGCUUUGGACUUGUAAUCGGAGGGUUGCCGGUUCGAACCCCGACCAGUAGGA
Molecule: transfer RNA, 74 nt
Filed under: Alosa alosa (allis shad)
Lineage: Eukaryota; Metazoa; Chordata; Actinopteri; Clupeiformes; Clupeidae
Description: tRNA-OTHER
Source: RNAcentral